This 400-nucleotide ribosomal RNA is filed under the name uncultured Glomeromycotina. RNAcentral's name for it is "SSU rRNA". It matches the Rfam family "Eukaryotic small subunit ribosomal RNA", at positions 569 to 977 of the family's 1831-position model. The record is from RNAcentral. Lineage: Eukaryota; Fungi; Glomeromycota.
AGCAGCCGCGGUAAUUCCAGCUUCAAUAGCGUAUAUUAAAGUUGUUGCAGUUAAAAAGCUCGUAGUUGAAUUUCGGGAUCAAUACGUCGGUCGUGCUUCGGUACGUACUGGCGUAAUUGAUUUCUCCCUUCUGACGAACCAUGAUGUCAUUAACUUGGUGUCAUGGGAAAUCAGGACUGUUACUUUGAAAAAUUAGAGUGUUUAAAGCAGGCUCACGCUUGAAUACAUUAGCAUGGAAUAAUGAAAUAGGACGUUCGAUCCUAUUUUGUGGUUUUUAGGAUCAACGUAAUGAUUAAUAGGGAUAGUUGGGGCAUUAGUAUUCAAUUGUCAGAGGUGAAAUUCUUGGAUUUAUUGAAGACUAACUACUGCGAAAGCAUUUGCCAAGGAUGUUUUCAUUAAU